GCAAGAUAGAGUUUGAUCAUGGCUCAGAAUGAACGCUGGCGGCGUGCUUAACACAUGCAAGUCGUACGAGAACGCUCUAGCUUGCUAGAGCAAGUAAAGUGGCGCACGGGUGAGUAACGCGUGGGUAAUCUACCUUCGAAUUGGGGAUAACGUUGCGAAAGCGACGCUAAUACCGAAUAACAUCCAUUUGUCUUUGGACGUUUGGAUCAAGGGUGGCCUCUACAUGUAAGCUACUGUUUGAAGAUGAGCCCGCGUACCAUUAGCUUGUUGGUAGGGUAAUGGCCUACCAAGGCGACGAUGGUUAGCUGGUCUGAGAGGAUGAUCAGCCACACUGGAACUGACACACGGUCCAGACUCCUACGGGAGGCAGCAGUGAGGAAUUUUGCGCAAUGGGGGAAACCCUGACGCAGCAACGCCGCGUGAGUGAUGAAGGCUUUCGGGUCGUAAAGCUCUGUCAAGUGGGAAGAACCUAUGUAAUGUUAAUACCAUUAUAUACUGACGGUACCACUGAAGGAAGCACCGGCUAACUCCGUGCCAGCAGCCGCGGUAAUACGGGGGGUGCAAGCGUUAUUCGGAAUCAUUGGGCGUAAAGAGCACGUAGGCGGCCUGGUAAGUCAGAUGUGAAAGCCCGGGGCUUACCCCCGGAAGUGCAUUUGAUACUGUCAGGCUUGAGUAUGGGAAAAGGGGAAGUGGAAUUCCUGGUGUAGAGGUGAAAUGCGUAGAUAUCAGGAGGAACACCGGUGGCGAAAGCGACUUCCUGGACCAAUACUGACGCUGAGGCGCGAAGGCGUGGGGGAGCAAACAGGAUUAGAUACCCUGGUAGUCCACGCAGUAAACGGUGAUCACUAGGUGUAGCGGGUAUUGACCCCUGCUGUGCCGCGGCUAACGCAUU
RNAcentral lists this ribosomal RNA (892 nucleotides) under uncultured bacterium. RNAcentral describes it as "bacterial SSU rRNA". It matches the Rfam family "Bacterial small subunit ribosomal RNA", at positions 1 to 861 of the family's 1533-position model. The record is from RNAcentral.